This 490-nucleotide ribosomal RNA is filed under the name uncultured bacterium. RNAcentral describes it as "partial 16S ribosomal RNA". It matches the Rfam family "Bacterial small subunit ribosomal RNA", at positions 30 to 507 of the family's 1533-position model. The record is from RNAcentral.
AUUGAACGCUGGCGGCAGGCCUAACACAUGCAAGUCGAACGGUAACAGGAAGAAGCUUGCUUCUUUGCUGACGAGUGGCGGACGGGUGAGUAAUGUCUGGGAAACUGCCUGAUGGAGGGGGAUAACUACUGGAAACGGUAGCUAAUACCGCAUAACGUCGCAAGACCAAAGAGGGGGACCUUCGGGCCUCUUGCCAUCGGAUGUGCCCAGAUGGGAUUAGCUAGUAGGUGGGGUAACGGCUCACCUAGGCGACGAUCCCUAGCUGGUCUGAGAGGAUGACCAGCCACACUGGAACUCAGACACGGUCCAGACUCCUACGGGAGGCAGCAGUGGGGAAUAUUGCACAAUGGGCGCAAGCCUGAUGCAGCCAUGCCGCGUGUAUGAAGAAGGCCUUCGGGUUGUAAAGUACUUUCAGCGGGGAGGAAGGGAGUAAAGUUAAUACCUUUGCUCAUUGACGUUACCCGCAGAAGAAGCACCGGCUAACUCCGUG